This 29-nucleotide non-coding RNA is filed under the name Rattus norvegicus (Norway rat). Lineage: Eukaryota; Metazoa; Chordata; Mammalia; Rodentia; Muridae. The record is from RNAcentral.
UUCAGUUUGUUGGAGCUCUCCUAUCAGAG